Molecule: ribosomal RNA, 460 nt
Filed under: uncultured bacterium
Lineage: Bacteria
Description: partial 16S ribosomal RNA
Rfam family: Bacterial small subunit ribosomal RNA
Source: RNAcentral
CCUACGGGUGGCAGCAGUGAGGAAUAUUGGUCAAUGGACGAGAGUCUGAACCAGCCAAGUAGCGUGAAGGAUGACUGCCCUAUGGGUUGUAAACUUCUUUUAUAUGGGAAUAAAAUGUUCCACGUGUGGGAUUUUGUAUGUACCAUAUGAAUAAGGAUCGGCUAACUCCGUGCCAGCAGCCGCGGUAAUACGGAGGAUCCGAGCGUUAUCCGGAUUUAUUGGGUUUAAAGGGAGCGUAGGUGGAUUGUUAAGUCAGUUGUGAAAGUUUGCGGCUCAACCGUAAAAUUGCAGUUGAAACUGGCAGUCUUGAGUACAGUAGAGGUGGGCGGAAUUCGUGGCGUAGCGGUGAAAUGCUUAGAUAUCACGAAGAACUCCGAUUGCGAAGGCAGUUCACUGGACUGCAACUGACACUGAGGCUCGAAAGUGUGGGUAUCAAACAGGAUUAGAUACCCUUGUAGUC